RNAcentral lists this non-coding RNA (44 nucleotides) under Schistosoma mansoni. Lineage: Eukaryota; Metazoa; Platyhelminthes; Trematoda; Strigeidida; Schistosomatidae. The record is from RNAcentral.
AUCCAACUGACGAGUCCAAAUAGAACGAAACGACCAUCCUAGAU